CAAUAGCGUAUAUUAAAGUUGUUGCAGUUAAAAAGCUCGUAGUUGGAUUUCUGGUCGGAAGCUCCUGUCCUCUGAUGAGCGUACAAGUGCGUCCUACCAUCCUUCUGUUAACCUUUAAGGCUUUCGCGGCUUUCUAGGGGCUCAGAUAUUUUACCUUGAGAAAAUUAGAGUGUUUCAGGCAGGCUAGCGCCGGGAUACAUUAGCAUGGAAUAAUGGAAUAGGACUUUUGCCUCUUCUGUUGGUCAUGAGGCUCGAGUAAUGAUUAAUAGGGAUAGUUGGGGGCAUUAGUACUUAACUGUCAGAGGUGAAAUUCUCGGAUUUGUUAAAGACUAACUUAUGCGAAAGCAUUUGCCAAGGAUGUUUUCAUUAA
Molecule: ribosomal RNA, 370 nt
Filed under: uncultured eukaryote
Lineage: Eukaryota
Description: partial 18S ribosomal RNA
Rfam family: Eukaryotic small subunit ribosomal RNA
Source: RNAcentral